This 182-nucleotide non-coding RNA is filed under the name SAR324 cluster bacterium. Its description in RNAcentral is "6S RNA". It matches the Rfam family "6S / SsrS RNA". From Rfam's summary of the family: E. coli 6S RNA was the first non coding RNA to be sequenced, but its function was unknown until recently. It consists of 184 nucleotides that fold into an extended hairpin structure with a large single-stranded internal bulge. Lineage: Bacteria; Deltaproteobacteria. The record is from RNAcentral.
AAUAGCCUGCGGUGUGCGGGAAUCGAACUUUUGCUGCCUAACACGUCAGCGAGGGACAGCCCCUCGAAGGGGGUGUGCCAGCCUUCCACAAUCAGGAGGAACGCCUCAUCCCUUCACACCGCACCCCAUUUUUUGGGGGCCAGGUACAAAAGCCCUAUUUGACACGGCACUGCGGGCUAUUC